Molecule: ribosomal RNA, 468 nt
Filed under: uncultured bacterium
Lineage: Bacteria
Description: partial 16S ribosomal RNA
Rfam family: Bacterial small subunit ribosomal RNA
Source: RNAcentral
GACGAACGCUGGCGGCGUGCUUAACACAUGCAAGUCGAACGGAAAGGCCCUGCUUUUGUGGGGUGCUCGAGUGGCGAACGGGUGAGUAACACGUGAGUAACCUGCCCUUGACUUUGGGAUAACUUCAGGAAACUGGGGCUAAUACCGGAUAGGAGCUCCUGCUGCAUGGUGGGGGUUGGAAAGUUUCGGCGGUUGGGGAUGGACUCGCGGCUUAUCAGCUUGUUGGUGGGGUAGUGGCUUACCAAGGCUUUGACGGGUAGCCGGCCAGAAAGGGGGAGCAGCCACAUUGGGGUUAAUAUGCAACCGAGACUGCUGCGGGAAGCAGCAGUGGGGAAUAAUGUAGAAAGGGCGGAGGCCUGAUGCAGCAUCGACGCGAUGGGGAUGGCGGCCUUCGGGUAGUAUUCCGAUCACAACUGGGACGAAGCGUGCGGGACGGUAAUGGGUAAUGGAGGACGAACUAGCAACGUG